This 496-nucleotide ribosomal RNA is filed under the name uncultured bacterium. RNAcentral describes it as "partial 16S ribosomal RNA". It matches the Rfam family "Bacterial small subunit ribosomal RNA", at positions 29 to 507 of the family's 1533-position model. The record is from RNAcentral.
AUGCACGCUGGCGGCGUGCCUCAUGCAUGCAAGUCGAGCGAACAGACGAGGAGCUUGCUCCUCUGACGUUAGCGGCGGACGGGUGAGUAACACGUGGAUAACCUACCUAUAAGACUGGGAUAACUUCGGGAAACCGGAGCUAAUACCGGAUAAUAUAUUGAACCGCAUGGUUCAAUAGUGAAAGACGGUUUUGCUGUCACUUAUAGAUGGAUCCGCGCCGCAUUAGCUAGUUGGUAAGGUAACGGCUUACCAAGGCAACGAUGCGUAGCCGACCUGAGAGGGUGAUCGGCCACACUGGAACUGAGACACGGUCCAGACUCCUACGGGAGGCAGCAGUAGGGAAUCUUCCGCAAUGGGCGAAAGCCUGACGGAGCAACGCCGCGUGAGUGAUGAAGGCCUUCGGAUCGUAAAACUCUGUUAUUAGGGAAGAACAAAUGUGUAAGUAACUAUGCACGUCUUGACGGUACCUAAUCAGAAAGCCACGGCUAACUACGUG